UACGAAGGGUGCAAGCGUUGCUCGGAAUUAUUGGGCGUAAAGGGUAGGUAGGUGGUAAUAAAAGUCUGGGGUGAAAUCCCUGAGCUCAACUCAGGACGUGCCUUGGAAACUUUAUUACUAGAGUGCUGGAGAGGUCCGCAGAAUUCCCGGUGUAGCGGUGAAAUGCGUGGAGAUCGGGAGGAAUACCAGAGGCGAAGGCGGCGGACUGGACAGCAACUGACACUCAACUACGAAAGCGUGGGUAGCAAACAGG
This 253-nucleotide ribosomal RNA is filed under the name uncultured bacterium. RNAcentral describes it as "partial 16S ribosomal RNA". It matches the Rfam family "Bacterial small subunit ribosomal RNA", at positions 524 to 776 of the family's 1533-position model. The record is from RNAcentral.